RNAcentral lists this ribosomal RNA (779 nucleotides) under uncultured bacterium. RNAcentral describes it as "bacterial SSU rRNA". It matches the Rfam family "Bacterial small subunit ribosomal RNA", at positions 65 to 818 of the family's 1533-position model. The record is from RNAcentral.
GACGAGACUUUUUAUUUGAUGCUUGCAUCUUUUAAAAAGUUGAGUGGCGAACGGGUGAGUAACACGUGGGUAACCUGCCUUAAAGUGGGGGAUAACACUUGGAAACAGGUGCUAAUACCGCAUAACCAUCAAAACCACCUGGUUUUGAUGUUAAAGAUGGUUCUGCUAUCGCUUUAAGAUGGACCCGCGGCGUAUUAGCUAGUUGGUGAGGUAACGGCUUACCAAGGCAAUGAUACGUAGCCGAACUGAGAGGUUGAUCGGCCACAUUGGGACUGAGACACGGCCCAAACUCCUACGGGAGGCAGCAGUAGGGAAUCUUCCACAAUGGACGAAAGUCUGAUGGAGCAACGCCGCGUGAGUGAAGAAGGUUUUCGGAUCGUAAAACUCUGUUGUCAGAGAAGAACGUGUGUGAGAGUAACUGUUCACGCAGUGACGGUAUCUGACCAGAAAGUCACGGCUAACUACGUGCCAGCAGCCGCGGUAAUACGUAGGUGGCAAGCGUUGUCCGGAUUUAUUGGGCGUAAAGGGAACGCAGGCGGUCUUUUAAGUCUGAUGUGAAAGCCUUCGGCUUAACCGAAGUCGGGCAUUGGAAACUGGGAGACUUGAGUGCAGAAGAGGAGAGUGGAGCUCCAUGUGUAGCGGUGAAAUGCGUAGAUAUAUGGAAGAACACCAGUGGCGAAAGCGGCUCUCUGGUCUGUAACUGACGCUGAGGUUCGAAAGCGUGGGUAGCAAACAGGAUUAGAUACCCUGGUAGUCCACGCCGUAAACGAUGAAUGCUA